RNAcentral lists this ribosomal RNA (425 nucleotides) under uncultured rumen bacterium. RNAcentral describes it as "bacterial SSU rRNA". It matches the Rfam family "Bacterial small subunit ribosomal RNA", at positions 354 to 776 of the family's 1533-position model. The record is from RNAcentral.
GUGGGGAAUAUUGGUCAAUGGCCGAGAGGCUGAACCAGCCAUGCCGCGUGCGGGAGGACGGCCCUAUGGGUUGUAAACCGCUUUUUUGUGGGAGCAAUAAGUUGCACGUGUGCAAUGAUGAGAGUACCAUGAGAAUAAGCAUCGGCUAACUCCGUGCCAGCAGCCGCGGUAAUACGGAGGAUGCGAGCGUUAUCCGGAUUUAUUGGGUUUAAAGGGUGCGUAGGCGGAUUUUUAAGCGUGAGGUGAAAUGCCCGGGCUCAACCUGGGAACUGCCUCGCGAACUGGGAGUCUUGAAUGCCCCUGCCGUGGGAGGAAUGUGUGGUGUAGCGGUGAAAUGCAUAGAGAUCACACAGAACACCGAUUGCGAAGGCAUCUCACGAAGGGGUGAUUGACGCUGAGGCACGAAAGCGUGGGGAUCAAACAGG